CCUACGGGUGGCAGCAGUGAGGAAUAUUGGUCAAUGGGCGCGAGCCUGAACGAGCCAAGUAGCGUGAAGGAUGACUGCCCUACGGGUUGUAAACUUCUUUUAUAAAGGAAUAAAGUGAGGCAAGUGUGCCUUUUUGUAUGUACUUUAUGAAUAAGGAUAGGCUAACUCCGUGCCAGCAGCCGCGGUAAUACGGAGGAUCCGAGCGUUCUCCGGAUUUAUUUGGUUUAAAGGGAGCGGAGCAGGGUUGUUCAGUCAGUUGUGAAAGUGUGCGGCUCAACCGUAAAAGUGCAAUUGAUACUGGCAGCCUUGAGUACAGUUGAGGUAGGCGGAAUUCGUGGUGUAGCGGUGAAAUGCUGAGAUAUCACGAAGAACUCCGAUUGCGAAGGCAGCCUACUAAACUGCCACUGACAUUGAUGCUCGAAAGUGUGGGUAUCAAACAGGAUUAGAUACCCCUGUAGUC
Molecule: ribosomal RNA, 460 nt
Filed under: uncultured bacterium
Lineage: Bacteria
Description: partial 16S ribosomal RNA
Rfam family: Bacterial small subunit ribosomal RNA
Source: RNAcentral